RNAcentral lists this ribosomal RNA (440 nucleotides) under uncultured bacterium. RNAcentral describes it as "bacterial SSU rRNA". It matches the Rfam family "Bacterial small subunit ribosomal RNA", at positions 338 to 793 of the family's 1533-position model. The record is from RNAcentral.
CCUACGGGGGGCAGCAGUGGGGAAUAUUGGGCAAUGGGCGGAAGCCUGACCCAGCGACGCCGCGUGAGGGAAGAAGGCCUUUGGGUCGUAAACCUCUGUUGUAUGGGAAGAAGGAAGUGACGGUACCAUACGAGGAAGUCCCGGCUAACUACGUGCCAGCAGCCGCGGUAAUACGUAGGGGACGAGCGUUGUCCGGAAUUACUGGGCGUAAAGGGCGCGCAGGCGGAUAUUUAAGUCAGCUGUUAAAGUCAUGGGCUCAACUCAUGGAUGCGGUUGAAACUGGGUAUCUAGAGUGCUGGAGAGGUAGGCGGAAUUCCCGGUGUAGCGGUGAAAUGCGUAGAUAUCGGGAAGAACACCAGUGGCGAAGGCGGCUUACUGGCCAGCAACUGACGCUGAGGCGCGAAAGCCAGGGGAGCGAACGGGAUUAGAUACCCUUGUAG